This 1254-nucleotide ribosomal RNA is filed under the name Riemerella anatipestifer. RNAcentral describes it as "bacterial SSU rRNA". It matches the Rfam family "Bacterial small subunit ribosomal RNA", at positions 108 to 1369 of the family's 1533-position model. Lineage: Bacteria; Pseudomonadati; Bacteroidota; Flavobacteriia; Flavobacteriales; Weeksellaceae. The record is from RNAcentral.
GCGGAACACGUGUGCAACCUGCCUUUAUCAGAGGGAUAGCCUUUCGAAAGGAAGAUUAAUACCUCAUAAUAUACUGAUUGGCAUCAAUUAGUAUUGAAAGCUCCGGCGGAUAGAGAUGGGCACGCGCAAGAUUAGAUAGUUGGUGAGGUAACGGCUCACCAAGUCAAUGAUCUUUAGGGGGCCUGAGAGGGUGAUCCCCCACACUGGUACUGAGACACGGACCAGACUCCUACGGGAGGCAGCAGUGAGGAAUAUUGGACAAUGGGUGCAAGCCUGAUCCAGCCAUCCCGCGUGAAGGACGACGGCCCUAUGGGUUGUAAACUUCUUUUGUACAGGGAUAAACCUACCCUCGUGAGGGUAGCUGAAGGUACUGUACGAAUAAGCACCGGCUAACUCCGUGCCAGCAGCCGCGGUAAUACGGAGGGUGCAAGCGUUAUCCGGAUUUAUUGGGUUUAAAGGGUCCGCAGGCGGGCUAGUAAGUCAGUGGUGAAAGCCUACAGCUUAACUGUAGAACUGCCGUUGAUACUGCUAGUCUUGAGUAUAGUUGAGGUAGCUGGAAUGAGUAGUGUAGCGGUGAAAUGCAUAGAUAUUACUCAGAACACCGAUUGCGAAGGCAGGUUACCAAGUUAUAACUGACGCUGAGGGACGAAAGCGUGGGGAGCGAACAGGAUUAGAUACCCUGGUAGUCCACGCCGUAAACGAUGCUAACUCGUUUUUGGGCUUUAGGGUUCAGAGACUAAGCGAAAGUGAUAAGUUAGCCACCUGGGGAGUACGACCGCAAGGUUGAAACUCAAAGGAAUUGACGGGGGCCCGCACAAGCGGUGGAUCAUGUGGUUUAAUUCGAUGAUACGCGAGGAACCUUACCAAGGCUUAAAUGGGAAUUGACAGCUGUAGAAAUACGGUUUUCUUCGGACAAUUUUCAAGGUGCUGCAUGGUUGUCGUCAGCUCGUGCCGUGAGGUGUUAGGUUAAGUCCUGCAACGAGCGCAACCCCUGUCACUAGUUGCCAUCAUUAAGUUGGGGACUCUAGUGAGACUGCCUACGCAAGUAGAGAGGAAGGUGGGGAUGACGUCAAAUCAUCACGGCCCUUACGCCUUGGGCCACACACGUGAUACAAUGGCCGGUACAGAGGGCAGCUACACUGCGAAGUGAUGCAAAUCUCGAAAGCCGGUCUCAGUUCGGAUUGGAGUCUGCAACUCGACUCUAUGAAGCUGGAAUCGCUAGUAAUCGCGCAUCAGCCAUGGCGCGGUGAAUAC